GCAAGGUUAACCGAAUAGGGGAGCCGGAGGGAAACCGAGUCUUAAUUGGGCGUUAAGUUGCAGGGUAUAGACCCGAAACCCGGUGAUCUAGCCAUGGGCAGGUUGAAGGUUGGGUAACACUAACUGGAGGACCGAACCGACUAAUGUUGAAAAAUUAGCGGAUGACCUGUGGCUGGGGGUGAAAGGCCAAUCAAACCGGGAGAUAGCUGGUUCUCCCCGAAAGCUAUUUAGGUAGCGCCUCGUGAAUUCAUCUCCGGGGGUAGAGCACUGUUUCGGCUAGGGGGCCAUCCCGGCUUACCAACCCGAUGCAAACUGCGAAUACCGGAGAAUGUUAUCACGGGAGACACACGGCGGGUGCUAACGUCCGUCGUGAAGAGGGAAACAACCCAGACCGCCAGCUAAGGUCCCAAAGUCAUGGUUAAGUGGGAAACGAUGUGGGAAGGCCCAGACAGCCAGGAUGUUGGCUUAGAAGCAGCCAUCAUUUAAAGAAAGCGUAAUAGCUCACUGGUCGAGUCGGCCUGCGCGGAAGAUGUAACGGGGCUAAACCAUGCACCGAAGCUGCGGCAGCGACACUGUGUGUUGUUGGGUAGGGGAGCGUUCUGUAAGCCUGCGAAGGUGGCCUGUGAGGGUUGCUGGAGGUAUCAGAAGUGCGAAUGCUGACAUAAGUAACGAUAAAGCGGGUGAAAAGCCCGCUCGCCGGAAGACCAAGGGUUCCUGUCCAACGUUAAUCGGGGCAGGGUGAGUCGACCCCUAAGGCGAGGCCGAAAGGCGUAGUCGAUGGGAAACGGGUUAAUAUUCCCGUACUUGGUGUUACUGCGAAGGGGGGACGGAGAAGGCUAUGUUGGCCGGGCGACGGUUGUCCCGGUUUAAGCGUGUAGGUGUGUGUUCCAGGUAAAUCCGGUUCACUUUAACACUGAGGCGUGACGACGAGGCACUACGGUGCUGAAGCAACAAAUGCCCUGCUUCCAGGAAAAGCCUCUAAGCAUCAGGUAACAUCAAAUCGUACCCCAAACCGACACAGGUGGUCAGGUAGAGAAUACCAAGGCGCUUGAGAGAACUCGGGUGAAGGAACUAGGCAAAAUGGUGCCGUAACUUCGGGAGAAGGCACGCUGACACGUAGGUGAAGUGAUUUACUCAUGGAGCUGAAGUCAGUCGAAGAUACCAGCUGGCUGCAACUGUUUAUUAAAAACACAGCACUGUGCAAACACGAAAGUGGACGUAUACGGUGUGACGCCUGCCCGGUGCCGGAAGGUUAAUUGAUGGGGUCAGCGCAAGCGAAGCUCCUGAUCGAAGCCCCGGUAAACGGCGGCCGUAACUAUAACGGUCCUAAGGUAGCGAAAUUCCUUGUCGGGUAAGUUCCGACCUGCACGAAUGGCGUAAUGAUGGCCAGGCUGUCUCCACCCGAGACUCAGUGAAAUUGAACUCGCUGUGAAGAUGCAGUGUACCCGCGGCAAGACGGAAAGACCCCGUGAACCUUUACUAUAGCUUGACACUGAACAUUGAGCCUUGAUGUGUAGGAUAGGUGGGAGGCUUUGAAGUGUGGACGCCAGUCUGCAUGGAGCCGACCUUGAAAUACCACCCUUUAAUGUUUGAUGUUCUAACGUGGACCCGUUACCCGGGUUGCGGACAGUGUCUGGUGGGUAGUUUGACUGGGGCGGUCUCCUCCUAAAGAGUAACGGAGGAGCACGAAGGUUGGCUAAUCCUGGUCGGACAUCAGGAGGUUAGUGCAAUGGCAUAAGCCAGCUUGACUGCGAGCGUGACGGCGCGAGCAGGUGCGAAAGCAGGUCAUAGUGAUCCGGUGGUUCUGAAUGGAAGGGCCAUCGCUCAACGGAUAAAAGGUACUCCGGGGAUAACAGGCUGAUACCGCCCAAGAGUUCAUAUCGACGGCGGUGUUUGGCACCUCGAUGUCGGCUCAUCACAUCCUGGGGCUGAAGUAGGUCCCAAGGGUAUGGCUGUUCGCCAUUUAAAGUGGUACGCGAGCUGGGUUUAGAACGUCGUGAGACAGUUCGGUCCCUAUCUGCCGUGGGCGCUGGAGAACUGAGGGGGGCUGCUCCUAGUACGAGAGGACCGGAGUGGACGCAUCACUGGUGUUCGGGUUGUCAUGCCAAUGGCACUGCCCGGUAGCUAAAUGCGGAAGAGAUAAGUGCUGAAAGCAUCUAAGCACGAAACUUGCCCCGAG
RNAcentral lists this ribosomal RNA (2179 nucleotides) under Salmonella enterica subsp. enterica serovar Enteritidis. RNAcentral describes it as "partial 23S ribosomal RNA". It matches the Rfam family "Bacterial large subunit ribosomal RNA", at positions 640 to 2803 of the family's 2925-position model. Lineage: Bacteria; Pseudomonadati; Pseudomonadota; Gammaproteobacteria; Enterobacterales; Enterobacteriaceae. The record is from RNAcentral.